GGGUUUCCAGGGUAAAGCUGAUCUGCCCUGGGUGAGUCGGGGCCUAAGGCGAGGACGAGAGUCGUAGCCGAUGGACAACAGGUGGAGAUUCCUGUACUGCGGUAUGACAGAACUGUGGGGACACGUAAGGAAAGCGGAAGCCGGGAAUGGAAAGCCCGGUGCAAGCAGGGUACCAGUGCGGAAGGCAAAUCCGCCGCACAAUGGGAAGCUGUGAAGCGGAGCGAAAUAAAGUAGCGAAGUCCGUGAGCCAUGCGUCAAGAAAAGCCGCUAUUGUUUGUACCGUACCCGUACCGUAAACCGACACAGGUGGAUGAGGAGAGAAUCCUAAGGCCGGCGGAAGAAGCAUUGUCAAGGAACUCGGCAAAAUGGCCCCGUAACUUAGGGAUAAGGGGUGCCUGUGGAAACAGGCCGCAGAGAAUAGGCUCAAGCAACUGUUUAGCAAAAACACAGGUCUAUGCGAAACCGAAAGGUGAGGUAUAUGGGCUGACGCCUGCCCGGUGCUGGAAGGUUAAGAGGAGAGGUCGGAGCAAUCGAAGCCUUGAAUUUAAGCCCCAGUAAACGGCGGCCGUAACAAUAACGGUCCUAAGGUAGCGAAAUUCCUUGUCGGGUAAGUUCCGACCCGCACGAAAGGCGUAAUGAUUUGAGCGCUGUCUCGACAAUGCAUCCGGUGAAAUUGAAGUACCAGUGAAGAUGCUGGUUACCCGCGCCAGGACGGAAAGACCCCAUGGAGCUUUACUCCAGUUUGGUACUGGGAUCCGGUAUUGCAUGUACAGGAUAGGUGGGAGGCAGAGAAUGUGCAGCGCCAGCUGCACAGGAGCCGCUGUUGGGAUACCACCCUUGCAGUAUUGGGUUUCUAACCAGCCGCCGUGAACCGGCGGUGGGACAAUGCCAGACGGGGAGUUUGACUGGGGCGGUCGCCUCCGAAAGGGUAUCGGAGGCGCCCAAAGGUUCCCUCAGGAUGGACGGAAACCAUCCAAAGAGUGCAAAGGCAGAAGGGAGCUUGACUGUGACACCGACGGGUGGAACAGGUACGAAAGUAGGGCUUAGUGAUCCGGUGGUAUUAAGUGGGAAUGCCAUCGCUCAACGGAUAAAAGCUACCCUGGAUAACAGGCUUAUCACUCCCAAGAGUUCACAUCGGCGGAGUGGUUUGGCACCUCGAUGUCGGCUCAUCGCAUCCUGGGGCUGUAGUAGGUCCCAAGGGUUGGGCUGUUCGCCCAUUAAAGCGGUACGCGAGCUGGGUUCAGAACGUCGUGAGACAGUUCGGUCCCUAUCCGGCGUGGGCGUAGGAUAUCUGAAGGGAGCUGUCCUUAGUACGAGAGGACCGGGAUGGACGGACCGCUGGUGUACCGGUUGAGCAGCCAGGCUCAUGGCCGGGUAGCCAAGUCCGGAAGGGAUAAACGCUGAAGGCAUCUAAGCGUGAAGCCCCCCCUGAGAUGAGAUAUCCCAUUCGAAAGAAGUAAGACCCCUUGAAGACGACGAGGUAGAUAGGCUGGGGAUGGAAGUGCAGUAAUGUACGGAGUUGACCAGUACUAAUCGGUCGAGGGCUUGACC
Molecule: ribosomal RNA, 1551 nt
Filed under: metagenome
Description: bacterial LSU rRNA
Rfam family: Bacterial large subunit ribosomal RNA
Source: RNAcentral